UACGAAGGGGGCUAGCGUUGUUCGGAAUUACUGGGCGUAAAGGGCGCGUAGGCUGUGCUGUAAGUCAGGCGUGAAAGCCCCGGGCUCAACCUGGGAAUUGCGCUUGAUACUGCGGCGCUGGAAGGUGGGAGAGGAUGGCGGAAUUCCCAGUGUAGAGGUGAAAUUCGUAGAUAUUGGGAAGAACACCGGUGGCGAAGGCGGCCAUCUGGCCCACAUUUGACGCUGAGAUGCGAAAGCCAGGGGAGCGAACGGG
RNAcentral lists this ribosomal RNA (253 nucleotides) under uncultured bacterium. RNAcentral's name for it is "partial 16S ribosomal RNA". It matches the Rfam family "Bacterial small subunit ribosomal RNA", at positions 524 to 776 of the family's 1533-position model. The record is from RNAcentral.